UGUGAUGUCAUAUACUUUCAAAGACCCCAUG
Molecule: non-coding RNA, 31 nt
Filed under: Rattus norvegicus (Norway rat)
Lineage: Eukaryota; Metazoa; Chordata; Mammalia; Rodentia; Muridae
Source: RNAcentral